RNAcentral lists this ribosomal RNA (1146 nucleotides) under Staphylococcus aureus. Its description in RNAcentral is "partial 23S ribosomal RNA". It matches the Rfam family "Bacterial large subunit ribosomal RNA", at positions 390 to 1542 of the family's 2925-position model. The record is from RNAcentral. Lineage: Bacteria; Bacillati; Bacillota; Bacilli; Caryophanales; Staphylococcaceae.
GUCUCUCUUGAGUGGAUCCUGAGUACGACGGAGCACGUGAAAUUCCGUCGGAAUCUGGGAGGACCAUCUCCUAAGGCUAAAUACUCUCUAGUGACCGAUAGUGAACCAGUACCGUGAGGGAAAGGUGAAAAGCACCCCGGAAGGGGAGUGAAAUAGAACCUGAAACCGUGUGCUUACAAGUAGUCAGAGCCCGUUAAUGGGUGAUGGCGUGCCUUUUGUAGAAUGAACCGGCGAGUUACGAUUUGAUGCAAGGUUAAGCAGUAAAUGUGGAGCCGUAGCGAAAGCGAGUCUGAAUAGGGCGUUUAGUAUUUGGUCGUAGACCCGAAACCAGGUGAUCUACCCUUGGUCAGGUUGAAGUUCAGGUAACACUGAAUGGAGGACCGAACCGACUUACGUUGAAAAGUGAGCGGAUGAACUGAGGGUAGCGGAGAAAUUCCAAUCGAACCUGGAGAUAGCUGGUUCUCUCCGAAAUAGCUUUAGGGCUAGCCUCAAGUGAUGAUUAUUGGAGGUAGAGCACUGUUUGGACGAGGGGCCCCUCUCGGGUUACCGAAUUCAGACAAACUCCGAAUGCCAAUUAAUUUAACUUGGGAGUCAGAACAUGGGUGAUAAGGUCCGUGUUCGAAAGGGAAACAGCCCAGACCACCAGCUAAGGUCCCAAAAUAUAUGUUAAGUGGAAAAGGAUGUGGCGUUGCCCAGACAACUAGGAUGUUGGCUUAGAAGCAGCCAUCAUUUAAAGAGUGCGUAAUAGCUCACUAGUCGAGUGACACUGCGCCGAAAAUGUACCGGGGCUAAACAUAUUACCGAAGCUGUGGAUUGUCCUUUGGACAAUGGUAGGAGAGCGUUCUAAGGGCGUUGAAGCAUGAUCGUAAGGACAUGUGGAGCGCUUAGAAGUGAGAAUGCCGGUGUGAGUAGCGAAAGACGGGUGAGAAUCCCGUCCACCGAUUGACUAAGGUUUCCAGAGGAAGGCUCGUCCGCUCUGGGUUAGUCGGGUCCUAAGCUGAGGCCGACAGGCGUAGGCGAUGGAUAACAGGUUGAUAUUCCUGUACCACCUAUAAUCGUUUUAAUCGAUGGGGGGACGCAGUAGGAUAGGCGAAGCGUGCGAUUGGAUUGCACGUCUAAGCAGUAAGGCUGAGUAUUAGGCAAAUC